AGACCCGAAACCCGGUGAUCUAGCCAUGGGCAGGUUGAAGGUUGGGUAACACUAACUGGAGGACCGAACCGACUAAUGUUGAAAAAUUAGCGGAUGACCUGUGGCUGGGGGUGAAAGGCCAAUCAAACCGGGAGAUAGCUGGUUCUCCCCGAAAGCUAUUUAGGUAGCGCCUCGUGAAUUCAUCUCCGGGGGUAGAGCACUGUUUCGGCCAGGGGGCCAUCCCGGCUUACCAAUCCGAUGCAAACUGCGAAUACCGGAGAAUGUUAUCACGGGAGACACACGGCGGGUGCUAACGUCCGUCGUGAAGAGGGAAACAACCCAGACCGCCAGCUAAGGUCCCAAAGUCAUGGUUAAGUGGGAAACGAUGUGGGAAGGCCCAGACAGCCAGGAUGUUGGCUUAGAAGCAGCCAUCAUUUAAAGAAAGCGUAAUAGCUCACUGGUCGAGUCGGCCUGCGCGGAAGAUGUAACGGGGCUAAACCAUGCACCGAAGCUGCGGCAGCGAACGUAUCACCCAAGACAACUUUACACAG
This 530-nucleotide ribosomal RNA is filed under the name Salmonella enterica. RNAcentral's name for it is "partial 23S ribosomal RNA". It matches the Rfam family "Bacterial large subunit ribosomal RNA", at positions 711 to 1219 of the family's 2925-position model. The record is from RNAcentral. Lineage: Bacteria; Pseudomonadati; Pseudomonadota; Gammaproteobacteria; Enterobacterales; Enterobacteriaceae.